This 253-nucleotide ribosomal RNA is filed under the name uncultured bacterium. RNAcentral describes it as "partial 16S ribosomal RNA". It matches the Rfam family "Bacterial small subunit ribosomal RNA", at positions 524 to 776 of the family's 1533-position model. The record is from RNAcentral.
UACAGAGGUCCCAAGCGUUGUUCGGAUUCACUGGGCGUAAAGGGUUCGUAGGCGGUCGGGUAAGUCUGAUGUGAAAUCUCACAGCUUAACUGUGAAACUGCAUUGGAUACUAUCCGGCUCGAGGAAUGGAGGGGAGACUGGAAUACUUGGUGUAGCAGUGAAAUGCGUAGAUAUCAAGUGGAACACCAGUGGCGAAGGCGAGGCUCUGGACAUUUACUGACGCUGAGGCACGAAAGCCAGGGGAGCAAACGGG